GAUGAACGCUGGCGGCGUGCCUAAUACAUGCAAGUCGAGCGAACGGACGAGAAGCUUGCUUCUCUGAUGUUAGCGGCGGACGGGUGAGUAACACGUGGAUAACCUACCUAUAAGACUGGGAUAACUUCGGGAAACCGGAGCUAAUACCGGAUAAUAUUUUGAACCGCAUGGUUCAAAAGAGCAAGACGGUCUUGCUGUCACUUAUAGAUGGAUCCGCGCUGCAUUAGCUAGUUGGUAAGGUAACGGCUUACCAAGGCAACGAUGCAUAGCCGACCUGAGAGGGUGAUCGGCCACACUGGAACUGAGACACGGUCCAGACUCCUACGGGAGGCAGCAGUAGGGAAUCUUCCGCAAUGGGCGAAAGCCUGACGGAGCAACGCCGCGUGAGUGAUGAAGGUCUUCGGAUCGUAAAACUCUGUUAUUAGGGAAGAACAUAUGUGUAAGUAACUGUGCACAUCUUGACGGUACCUAAUCAGAAAGCCACGGCUAACUACGUG
RNAcentral lists this ribosomal RNA (497 nucleotides) under uncultured bacterium. RNAcentral's name for it is "partial 16S ribosomal RNA". It matches the Rfam family "Bacterial small subunit ribosomal RNA", at positions 28 to 507 of the family's 1533-position model. The record is from RNAcentral.